Annulohypoxylon truncatum is the source of this 101-nucleotide non-coding RNA. The record is from the annotation of a RefSeq genome assembly. NCBI's taxonomy places the organism in Eukaryota, Fungi, Ascomycota, Sordariomycetes, Xylariales, Hypoxylaceae.
GGCACAGUGGCGGAGUGGUCUAACGCGUGUGACUCGAAUCUUCUCAAUCUUGGGUUGAUCACAUCUCUUCGGAGGCGCCCGUUCGAAUCGGGCCUGUGUCG